UCCAGCGCCGUGACAAUGCUUCUCAACUCUGCUGGGGCUGAAAGAGGCUCGAGUUCCUGUUCAGGGGGACCUUGGGGGAGGGGAACGACGACGGACUCGCGACGCCCGAGAGCGUGGAGGGGAGACCAAAGUUUUAACCCAGGAAGUCAACUGCCAUGUUGGGAGAAGUCAACUGCUAUGUUGGGAGGAUACUCAAGCUAUCCUGUGGAAUGUUUUGCAUUUCAAGGAACCUCCUGCCAACCACCAGCACUACCUGGCUAGACAUAAGCACGUCAGAAACCCAAGGAAGUUUCAAGAUCUUUCUUGUCCAACCCCUUAUUUCAUAGAUGAGUGAACUACUAUGGACCACAACUGUGAAAUUAGGUGGUGGAAGAGCAGGUACUACAUAUCAGUUCUCCUUAUUCUCAAGCCAAGACUCUUUUCACCUUGGGGAGUUCAUUCUGGCUGCCCCAUUUUCCCACUGGUGGUGGAAGAUGUAUGAGAAUGUCUGUCACUGGUUCAGUAGUACCACUGAAAUACACAUUGCACUGAAAUAUUGUUAACCAGCGUAGAAAUUAGAGAUUAGCCAAAUAAGUCAGAUCUAUCUUUUCCAUAUAUAAGCUUGUACAUGUCACUAAAAUGUUGUAAUGGCAAUUCCAGUCUGGAGUUUGGAGACUAAAGGAAAUGUCUCUUUUGAGAACUUUCUCUUUUUGAGAAAUGUCAUUUAAAUGUUGCAGCAUAGAGAAACCUCUUUGGCAGCAAACCAUUUAUUUCAACUCUUUUCAUGUAAAUCCUCUUUUUUAUGUGUUAAACAUUACUUUCUUCUUUCAAAGUAUAGUCAUGUGCCCCAUAACGUUUCAGUCAACAAGGCUCUGCAUAUGUGACUACGAUAGUGGUCCCAUAAGGUUAUAAUGGAGCUGAAAAGUUUUCAUCCCCUGGUGGCAGUUUAGCCAUUUUUAAUGUCAUAGCACAACGCAUUAUUCAUGUGUUUGUGGUGAUGCUGGUGUAAAAGAACCUACUGCACUGCCAGUCAUAUAAAAGUAUAGCACUUACACUUGUGUACAGUGCAUAAUACUUGAUAAUGAUAAUAAACAACUAUGUUACUGAUUUAUGUAUUUACUACACUAUACUUUUUAUUGUUAUUUAGAGUGUCCUCUUUCUAUUUGUAUAAAAAAAGUUAACUAUGAAACAGUAUGCUGUGCUACAUCAGCAGCAGCCUCGUAUAUCUCAUGUUUACCGCUUCUCUUGAUUGCAUCAUUUUCUCUUGUGCUUGAUUUAAUCCUGGGUUGUUUUGUUUAUCAUGGCACCUAAGUUUACAAAAUACACUGUUAAGGUUGCCAGGAAGAGGCCAUGUGAAGUGAUUGACCUGGAAAUGAAAUUUAAGGUGAUUAAGGACAAUGAAGGUGGAAAAUCAGUGAUGGUUGUUGCUCACCAGUCAGGCAUGUCCCAUUCCACCAUAGCUACGAUCCUAAAGAAUAAGAACAAAGUGAUGGAAGCUUUUAAAGGAUCUGCCUCACUGAAGGCAAUGAAACUAACAAAAAUUCAAGAAGGGCCUACAUCAGAUCUGGAGAAACUUGUAAUGACCUGGAUUGAAGACCAGACACAGAAGGGUAUUCCUCUCAGUACCAUAACAAUCAUGGCCAAAUCAAAAAUUUUGUUUGUGAUGGUGCAAGAAAAGACUGGACCCUACUGUGAUAUUGAAUUUACUGCUAGCUCUGCUGGUUUAAGCAGUUCAAGAAUCAUUAUCAUUCAUAAUGUGAAAGGGAAUGGUGAGUCUGCAGAUGCUGAUGUGAAGACAGGUGAAGAACAUUUGGAAAGUCUAGAUAAGCUGAUUGUGGAGAAAAAUUACUUGCCAGAGCAAAUAUUCAAUAUGGAUAAAAUCUCCCUAUUCUGGAAAUGGAUGCCUGGAAGGACUUUCAUCCAUAAGGAAGCCACGUCAAUACCAGAUGUCAGGGCUUUGUUUGGGGGGUGAAGAUUAGCUCUGAGCUAAAAUCUGCUGCCAAUCCUCCUCUUUUUGCUGAGGAAGAUUGGCCCUGAGCUAACAUCCAUGCCCAUCUUCCUCCACUUUAUAUGUGGGACGCCUGCCACAGCAUGGCUUGCCAAGCGGUGCCGUGUCCGCACCUGGGAUCUGAACUGACGCACCCCAGGCCCCCAAAGCGGAACGUGCGAACUUAACUGCUGUGCCACCAGGUCGGCCCCGAUUUCAAGGCUUUUAAAGAUCAGACCUUCCUGCCACUAAAGAACUCAAGGUAGCAAAAAAAAAAAAAAAAACAAAAAAACCAAAAAACGGAAA
Molecule: non-coding RNA, 2272 nt
Organism: Equus caballus (horse)
Lineage: Eukaryota; Metazoa; Chordata; Mammalia; Perissodactyla; Equidae
Source: RefSeq, a predicted model, not a curated record